CCUACGGGAGGCAGCAGUCGAGAAUCAUUCACAAUGGGGGAAACCCUGAUGGUGCGACGCCGCGUGAGGGAAUGAAGGUCUUCGGAUUGUAAACCCCUGUCAUGUGGGAGCAAAUUAGAAAGAUAGUACCGAAAGAGGAAGAGACGGCUAACUCUGUGCCAGCAGCCGCGGUAAUACAGAGGUAUCAAGCGUUGUUCGGAAUCACUGGGCGUAAAGCGUGCGUAGGCGGUUUCGUAAGUCGUGUGUGAAAGGCGCGGGCUCAACCGGCGGACGGCACAUGAUACUGCGAGACUAGAGUAACGGAGGGGGCAUCGGAAUUCCCGGUGUAGCAGUGAAAUGCGUAGAUAUAGAGAGGAACACUCGUGGCGAAGGCGGGUGCCUGGACAUUAACUGACGCUGAGGCACGAAGGCCAGGGGAGCGAAAGGGAUUAGAUACCCGAGUAGUC
RNAcentral lists this ribosomal RNA (446 nucleotides) under uncultured bacterium. RNAcentral describes it as "partial 16S ribosomal RNA". It matches the Rfam family "Bacterial small subunit ribosomal RNA", at positions 338 to 795 of the family's 1533-position model. The record is from RNAcentral.